UACGUAGGGUGCGAGCGUUUGUCCGGAAUUAUUGGGCGUAAAGAGCUUGUAGGCGGUUUGUCGCGUCUGCUGUGAAAACCCGGGGCUCAACCCCGGGCCUGCAGUCGAUACGGGCAGACUAGAGUGUGGUAGGGGAGACUGGAAUUCCUGGUGUAGCGGUGAAAUGCGCAGAUAUCAGGAGGAACACCGGUGGCGAAGGCGGGUCUCUGGGCCAUAACUGACGCUGAGGAGCGAAAGCGUGGGGAGCGAACAGG
Molecule: ribosomal RNA, 254 nt
Filed under: uncultured bacterium
Lineage: Bacteria
Description: partial 16S ribosomal RNA
Rfam family: Bacterial small subunit ribosomal RNA
Source: RNAcentral